AGUAGUCAUAUGCUUGUCUCAAAGAUUAAGCCAUGCUUGUCUAAGUAUAAGCGAGUAUACUGUGAAACUGCGAAUGGCUCAUUAAAUUAGUUAUGGUUUAUUUGAUGGUACCUUGCUACUUGGAUAACCUUAGUAAUUCUAGAGCUAAUACAUGCAGGAGUUUCCGACUUCGGAAGGGAUGUAUUUAUUAGAUAAGAAACCAAACCGGUCUCCGGUCGCGUGCUGAGUCAUACUAACUGCUC
This 242-nucleotide ribosomal RNA is filed under the name uncultured Isochrysis. RNAcentral describes it as "partial Eukaryotic small subunit ribosomal RNA". It matches the Rfam family "Eukaryotic small subunit ribosomal RNA", at positions 19 to 265 of the family's 1831-position model. Lineage: Eukaryota; Haptophyta; Isochrysidales. The record is from RNAcentral.